Molecule: ribosomal RNA, 629 nt
Filed under: uncultured Bacilli bacterium
Lineage: Bacteria; Bacillati; Bacillota; Bacilli
Description: bacterial SSU rRNA
Rfam family: Bacterial small subunit ribosomal RNA
Source: RNAcentral
GGAUGAGUUGCGAACGGGUGAGUAACGCGUAGGUAACCUGCCUGGUAGCGGGGGAUAACUAUUGGAAACGAUAGCUAAUACCGCAUAACAGUAGAUAUUGCAUGAUAUCUGCUUGAAAGGGGCAAUUGCUCCACUACCAAAUGGACCUGCGUUGUAUUAGCUAGUUGGUGAGGUAACGGCUCACCAAGGCGACGAUACAUAGCCGACCUGAGAGGGUGAUCGGCCACACUGGGACUGAGACACGGCCCAGACUCCUACGGGAGGCAGCAGUAGGGAAUCUUCGGCAAUGGACGGAAGUCUGACCGAGCAACGCCGCGUGAGUGAAGAAGGUUUUCGGAUCGUAAAGCUCUGUUGUAAGAGAAGAACGAGUGUGAGAGUGGAAAGUUCACACUGUGACGGUAACUUACCAGAAAGGGACGGCUAACUACGUGCCAGCAGCCGCGGUAAUACGUAGGUCCCGAGCGUUAUCCGGAUUUAUUGGGCGUAAAGCGAGCGCAGGCGGUUAGAUAAGUCUGAAGUUAAAGGCUGUGGCUUAACCAUAGUACGCUUUGGAAACUGUUUAACUUGAGUGCAGAAGGGGAGAGUGGAAUUCCAUGUGUAGCGGUGAAAUGCGUAGAUAUAUGGAGGAA